GAUGAAGAACGCAGCGAAAUGCGAUAAGUAGUGUGAAUUGCAGAUUUCAGUGAAUCAUCGAAUCUUUGAACGCACAUUGCGCCCUUUGGUAUUCCUUAGGGCAUGCCUGUUCGAGCGUCAUUUAAACCUUCAAGCUCAGCUUGGUGUUGGGUGACUGUCCGCUUCACCGCGGACUCGCCUCAAAAUUAUUGGCGGCCGGUACAUUGGCUUCGAGCGCAGCAGAAACGCGAACUCGGGCCCGUCGUAUUGGCUCCCAGAAGCUAUCUUCACAAUUUUGACCUCGGAUCAGGUAGGGAUACCCGCUGAACUUAAGCAUAUCAAUAAGCGGAGGA
This 332-nucleotide unclassified non-coding RNA is filed under the name soil metagenome. RNAcentral's name for it is "partial contains 5.8S ribosomal RNA, internal transcribed spacer 2, and large subunit ribosomal RNA". The stretch from base 1 to 120 matches the Rfam family "5.8S ribosomal RNA", at positions 35 to 154 of the family's 154-position model. The record is from RNAcentral.